GACAGAGGUGCCAAGCGUUAGGCGGAAUCACUGGGCUUAAAGCGUGUGUAGGCGGAUCGUUAAGUACCUUGUGAAAUCCCACGGCUCAACCGUGGAACUGCUCGGUAUACUGGCGGUCUUGAGCCACCUAGGGGCAACUGGAACAAGCGGUGGAGCGGUGAAAUGCGUAGAUAUCGCUUGGAACGCCAACGGUGAAAACAGGUUGCUGGGGGUGUGCUGACGCUGAGACACGAAAGCCAGGGGAGCGAACGGGAUUAGAUACCCCGGUAGUCCUGGCCCUAAACGAUGUCGACUAGAUCGUAGUGCCUCUGACGGUAUUACGGUCGAAGCAAAAGUGCUAAGUCGACCGCCUGGGAAGUACGGUCGCAAGGCUAAA
This 376-nucleotide ribosomal RNA is filed under the name uncultured bacterium. Its description in RNAcentral is "bacterial SSU rRNA". It matches the Rfam family "Bacterial small subunit ribosomal RNA", at positions 524 to 898 of the family's 1533-position model. The record is from RNAcentral.